UGGGGAAUUUUGGACAAUGGGCGAAAGCCUGAUCCAGCAAUGCCGCGUGUGUGAAGAAGGCCUUCGGGUUGUAAAGCACUUUUGUCCGGAAAGAAAUCCUCUGGGUUAAUACCUCGGGGGGAUGACGGUACCGGAAGAAUAAGCACCGGCUAACUACGUGCCAGCAGCCGCGGUAAUACGUAGGGUGCAAGCGUUAAUCGGAAUUACUGGGCGUAAAGCGUGCGCAGGCGGUUUUGUAAGACGGAUGUGAAAUCCCCGGGCUUAACCUGGGAACUGCAUUCGUGACUGCAAGGCUAGAGUAUGGCAGAGGGGGGUUAGAAUUCCACGUGUAGCAGUGAAAUGCGUAGAGAUGUGGAGGAAUACCGAUGGCGAAGGCAGCCCCCUGGGCCAAUACUGACGCUCAUGCACGAAAGCGUGGGGAGCAAACAGGAUUAGAUACCCUGGUAGUCCACGCCCUAAACGAUGUCAACUAGUUGUUGGGAAUUCAUUUCCUUAGUAACGUAGCUAACGCGUGAAGUUGACCGCCUGGGGAGUACGGUCGCAAGAUU
Molecule: ribosomal RNA, 548 nt
Filed under: uncultured bacterium
Lineage: Bacteria
Description: partial 16S ribosomal RNA
Rfam family: Bacterial small subunit ribosomal RNA
Source: RNAcentral